This 345-nucleotide unclassified non-coding RNA is filed under the name soil metagenome. Its description in RNAcentral is "partial contains 5.8S ribosomal RNA, internal transcribed spacer 2, and large subunit ribosomal RNA". The stretch from base 1 to 120 matches the Rfam family "5.8S ribosomal RNA", at positions 35 to 154 of the family's 154-position model. The record is from RNAcentral.
GAUGAAGAACGCAGCGAAAUGCGAUAAGUAAUGUGAAUUGCAGAAUUCAGUGAAUCAUCGAAUCUUUGAACGCACAUUGCGCCCGCCAGUAUUCUGGCGGGCAUGCCUGUCUGAGCGUCAUUUCAACCCUCAUGCCCCUAGGGCGUGGUGUUGGGGAUCGGCGUGCCCUCGCGGCGCGCCGUCCCCUAAAUCUAGUGGCGGUCUCGCUGUAGCUUCCUCUGCGUAGUAGCAACACUCGCACUGGAUCGCAGCGCGGCCACGCCGUUAAACCCCCCACUUCUGAAAGUUUGACCUCGGAUCAGGUAGGAAUACCCGCUGAACUUAAGCAUAUCAAUAAGCGGAGGA